AGGACUUUUACUGUCUGUGCGGGGGAUGUAAGGAAGGUGACAGGGGGUCUUCUGGUGGUGGGGCAGAAGGGGUUGUAGACAUGACAUAUAGUUGGUAAUCUGGUGACGACUGAACACGUAAGGCACCUAUGAUCAUGUGAUUGAUGCCUUUUUUGAUGCAGGGGGCCACACAGCAGCAGACCACCCCCAACAGAGUCAGGAUGAGAAGGAAGGGAGUCACCAGACGAAAGAGUAGUUGUUGCCAGGUUCCUUGGAAAAACCAAUCCCACCACGAGGCUGCGGGGGUUUCGUCUGCAGUCAUGGCACCUUCCAGGUUCCUCAGCGACUGGAGGGAGUCCUCGAUGGAUUCUGAGCUGUUGUUGGGAAUGUACGUACAACAGGUUUGUAAACACUGAGGUAAGACUACGGGUGGUGUGGGAUAACUUCCACCCCACCGUUCCUACUGUUGCAGUAUGUAAAGGUACGUUCUCCCACGAUUGAUGCCACACCCCAUGUUUCUCCUGUGUUUGUAUAUACCAUUCAUAGUCCUGGUAGGAAUCACCCCACAGCCUACCACCACUAUGGCUUUGGAUCGUGAGACUCUUAAAAGGGAUGUCAAUUUUUACCACACGGUUGGGAUCAACGGAGAGGGGGACGCAGUACACAGCACCAAACGCAAGUGUUGUGGGGCAGCGGCCUAAAUAUGGUCCCCAUGGCUGAGCUAUGAGGCCUCCAUUGCAGCUGAUGACCAACAGGAAUCCCAAGAGGAGAUGGAGUGGUCCCAUACUUAUGGUUCAGGAGUUGUAUCUGGGGGAGAGGGUUUUUGUACCUUUUUCCCGUGUGACUGGUGUAUCCAGGUGUCCCUUUCAGCUAUCUUAAACGCAGUGGGUGUGGUCAGCAAUACCGUGUAAGGACCAUCCCAACGAGGCGUACACCAGUGUUUUCUCUUUAUCACCUUCACCAAUACCCAGUCACCAGGACGCAGGAGAUCUGAAACAGGCAAGGGAGAACUGGGCAGAUUAUUUGCAUUAACAACAGUUCUAUCUUCAAACAGUUUUAGCAUCCAUUUUGUGAUGAGAUCUAGUUCCCCCUCAUUCUCCUGCACCCAUACCGACUGUGUGAUGGGGAGGUGAAAAGGUCUCCCCGUAACUGUUUCAAAAGGGGUCAGACCUUGUGGAGUGGGCGUGAUGC
RNAcentral lists this long non-coding RNA (1170 nucleotides) under Gouania willdenowi (blunt-snouted clingfish). RNAcentral describes it as "lncRNA (ENSGWIG00000006600.1)". The record is from RNAcentral. Lineage: Eukaryota; Metazoa; Chordata; Actinopteri; Blenniiformes; Gobiesocidae.